CAAUAGCGUAUAUUAAAGUUGUUGCGGUUAAAAAGCUCGUAGUUGGAUUUCUGUCGAAGGCGGCCGGUCCGCACUAUGUGCGUGUAUCUGGUUCGGUUUUGGCAUCCUCUUGGGGAACGUUUCUGUGCUUGAUUGCAUGGGGCGGAAUUCAAGACUUUUACUUUGAGGAAAUUAGAGUGUUCACGGCAAGCUAUCGCUUUGAAUACAUUAGCAUGGAAUAAUAAUAUAGGGCGUAAGUUCUAUUUUGUUGGUUUCUAGGACAUACGCAAUGAUUAAUAGGGACAAUUGGGGCAGUUCGUACUAACGCGUCAGAGGUGGAAUUCUUAGAUUGCGUUAUGACGAACUACUGCGAAAGCAUUUGCCAAGGAUGUUUUCAUUGAUCAAGAACGAAAGUAUGGGGAUCGAAGAUGAUUAGAUACCA
Molecule: ribosomal RNA, 421 nt
Filed under: uncultured eukaryote
Lineage: Eukaryota
Description: SSU rRNA
Rfam family: Eukaryotic small subunit ribosomal RNA
Source: RNAcentral